RNAcentral lists this transfer RNA (77 nucleotides) under Planctomycetota bacterium. RNAcentral's name for it is "Planctomycetes bacterium tRNA-Arg". It matches the Rfam family "tRNA". From Rfam's summary of the family: Transfer RNA (tRNA) molecules are approximately 80 nucleotides in length. Their secondary structure includes four short double-helical elements and three loops (D, anti-codon, and T loops). Further hydrogen bonds mediate the characteristic L-shaped molecular structure. tRNAs have two regions of fundamental functional importance: the anti-codon, which is responsible for specific mRNA codon recognition, and the 3' end, to which the tRNAs corresponding amino acid is attached (by aminoacyl-tRNA synthetases). tRNAs cope with the degeneracy of the genetic code in two manners: having more than one tRNA (with a specific anti-codon) for a particular amino acid; and 'wobble' base-pairing, i.e. permitting non-standard base-pairing at the 3rd anti-codon position. The record is from RNAcentral. Lineage: Bacteria; Pseudomonadati; Planctomycetota.
GCGCCCGUAGCUCAACUGGAUAGAGCACCGGACUUCUAAUCCGGCGGUUGCAGGUUCGACUCCUGCCGGGCGUGCCA